This 253-nucleotide ribosomal RNA is filed under the name uncultured bacterium. Its description in RNAcentral is "partial 16S ribosomal RNA". It matches the Rfam family "Bacterial small subunit ribosomal RNA", at positions 524 to 776 of the family's 1533-position model. The record is from RNAcentral.
UACAGAGGUCUCAAGCGUUGUUCGGAUUCAUUGGGCGUAAAGGGUGCGUAGGCGGCGCGGUAAGUCGGGUGUGAAAUCUUGGAGCUUAACUCCGAAACUGCAUUCGAUACUGCCGUGCUUGAGGACUGGAGAGGAGACUGGAAUUUACGGUGUAGCGGUGAAAUGCGUAGAUAUCGUAAGGAAGACCAGUGGCGAAAGCGGCUCUCUGGGACGGUACUGACGCUGAGACGCGAAAGCGUGGGGAGCAAACAGG